UGAUGGUUGUGUAUGUGUGGUGAUUGAGGUGUGUGUGUGGUGAUGGUGCUGUGUGUGUGGUGAUGGUGGUGUAUGUGUGGUGAUGUGGUGUGUGUCUGUGGUUAUGGUGGUGUGUGUGUGGUUAUGGUGGUGUGUGUGUCGUUAUGGUGCUGUGUAUGUGGUGAUGGUGGUGUAUGUGUGGUGAUCGUGGUGUAUGUGUGGUGAUGUGGUGUGUAUGUGGUGAUGGUGGUGUAUGUGUGGUGAUGGAGGUGUAUGUGUGGUGAUCGUGGUGUAUGUGUGGUGAUGGUGGUGUGUAUGUGGUAAUGGUUGUAUAUGUGAUGUGAUGUUGGUGUGUAUGUGGUUAUGGUGGUGUGUAUGUGGUGAUGGUAGUGUAUAUGUGGUGAUGGUGGUGUGUGUGUGGUGAUCGUGGUGUAUGUGUGGUGAUGGUGCUGUGUGUGUGGUUAUGGUGGUGUGUGUGUGGUGAUAGUGGUGUAUGUGUGGUGAUGGUGGUAUGUAUGUGGUGAUGGUGGUGUGUGUGUGGUGAUGGUGCUGUUUGUGUGGUUAUGGUGGUGUGUGAGAGGUGAUAGUGGUGUAUGUGUGGUGAUCGUGGUGUAUGUGUGGUGUUGGUGGAUUAUGUGUGGUGAUUUUGGUAAAUGUAUUGUGAUGGUGCUGUAUGUGUGGUGAUGGUGGUGUUUAUGUGAUGAUUGUGGAUUAUGUGUGGUGAAGGUGGUAUGUAUGUGGUGGUGGUGGUGUGUGUGUGGUUAUAGUGGUGUAUGUGUGGUGAUGGUGCUGUGUGUGUGGUUAUGGUGGUGUAUUGUGGUGAUUGUGGUGUGUGUGUGGUGAUGGUGGUGUGUUUGUGGUUAUGGUGGUGUGUAUGUGGUGAUGGUGGAUUAUGUGUGGUGAUUUUGGUAAAUGUAUUGUGAUGGUGGUGUAUGUGUCGUGAUAGUGCUUACAUGUGGUGAUCGUGGUGUAUGUGUGGUGACUGUGGUAUGUAUGUGGUGAUGGUUGUGUAUGUGUGGUGAUGGUGCUGUGUGUGUGGUGAUGGUAGUGUUUUUGUGGUGAUAGUGGUGUAUGUGUUGUGAUGGUGGUGAGGGUGUGGUUAUGGUGGUGUAUGUGUGGUGAUGGUGCUGUGUGUGUGGUUAUGGUGGUGUAUGUGUGGUGAUCGUGGUAUAUGUGUGGUGACUGUGGUGUGUAUGUGGUGAUGGUGGUGUGUGUGUGGUGAUGGUGGUGUAUAUGUAGUUUUUAUGGUGUGUGUGUGGUUAUGGUAGUGUAUAUGUGGUGAUGGUGGUGUGUGUGUGGUUAUGGUGGUGUAUGUGUUGUGAUGAUGGUGUAUGUGUGGUGAAUGUGGUGUUUAUGUGGUGAUG
This 1343-nucleotide long non-coding RNA is filed under the name Cricetulus griseus (Chinese hamster). RNAcentral describes it as "lncRNA (ENSCGRG00015035459.1)". Lineage: Eukaryota; Metazoa; Chordata; Mammalia; Rodentia; Cricetidae. The record is from RNAcentral.